Molecule: non-coding RNA, 1886 nt
Organism: Sus scrofa (pig)
Lineage: Eukaryota; Metazoa; Chordata; Mammalia; Artiodactyla; Suidae
Source: RefSeq, a predicted model, not a curated record
GGAAGUGGCUGCACCGCCCGGGGCGGGGAUGGGGCUGCGCGGUCCCCCGCCCCAUCACACCUGCCUCCACCCCAGGUCCGGGUCUGUCUCUCCGCACGCCGCCGAGGGUGCAGUGUCCACUUGCCGAGACCCACCGGCUUAAUGAUGACUCGGAGGCCGCAGACGCGUGAAGGAGGCAGGGAUGAGGUUUUCAUUAAGUUGGCAACGUCGGGGUUAACCGGGAGUGCACUGGGGGCGGGAUGCUGGGAGGACAGGAUCCCUCGACCAUCCUUGCGUCUCCUUUCACUUCGGUCUCAGACCCUGGGCGGUCCAGGCCGACGCAGUAUUUUCGGGAUGGGAGAAGUCAGAUAGGGGAGUCCAGACCCCAAACCUUCAAUCUUUCCUCCCUACACCCAAGAGUUAUGUGCUCUGGCUGCAUUGGACCGGGGUGAGAAAGUUAAGACCAGAGAAGUGUCCCAAAUGGGAGAGGGGAGGUCAAGAAACUACAGCAAGUGGGAAUCAAGUUAGAGCAGAGGAAGAGGGGAUCUUUUAAAGAAAGAAAAAAAAAAAAUGGUACUCUUUCCUUGCAGGGAAGACCUCCCAGGAGAGAUUGCUUCCCUUAAGCAGAGACUCUGCCUUUGAACGGUGCCAGUGGCAGGCUGGGACAGGUGCCCGGCUUCCUUGGGGAGCUCAGGGAUUCAUCUCUGGUGAUGUCCCACAGUCCGUCCCCAGCCCACACCAAGGCUGCUUCUACUCCUCUUACCUCCACCCACUCACCCACUGGCCUUUGCUCCUCUCUCCCUCUCAGAAAUGAUGUGCUUUUUCAAUAGUGAAAGUUGCAAUUAAUGCUCUCAUUUCCAUAAGGCAAACACAUAACCCGGCCCCAGGAUCCAACCUGUGACCAAUCUCCACCGACAAGGACUGCUCCCCACCCGACUCUCCUGCUUCCCCACAGAGAAGGAAAUUAACUCCAUUCUAAUUAGGAAUCCCCUCGUCAUGUUUGAAGCCUGCAAGUCCGAACAGCGGGCGCAGCUCAGGGAGGAGACCGUGCCCUUGGCAUCCAGCCCCCGCCACCCCCGGCUCCAGCAUGCUUCCAUCACCUUCCAUCAUCGCCCGCUGUCUCCGAGAUCAAAGGAAGCCAGACUGCGAAACGGACUGCCCCCCGCCCCCAGUGCCUUUCGUCUCUUCCCCUCUCACGCCAGGGCCACCAGUUUUCCGAGGAACUUAAAUCAUUACUGAAAGACGUCUAGUUUCACAGACACCAAGCCCUUUCAAAGAGAGGCGUGGGCACCCGAAAGGGAAGCGCAGAAAAGCACAGAGGAAACUUUUCCCCGGUUCCAAGAUGUCACCAAUCCCACAUCCAGGGAAGCUCUUGGCUGUUUGGCUGGAUCUUGUCUUCCUUCUCUGCCAUCUCCUUGGGGGCUCAGCUGUCCCCAGAGUCGCAUUUCUGGAUGCUCUUGGGAGCUCCAGCACUUUGCGUGCCCUUUGCUUACGCCGUAGGCAGGUCCUAUAACCUUAAAAAACAGCUCGUUCAGUCGUGUGCAUCUCUUUGAUGAAAGCUCUCUCCUCCUGCAGCCUUUCCUCAACCCUCCAUGCCCAAAGGGACUGUGCCUUCCUCUGAAUCACGUUUUCCUUUUGACCUUGCAUUAUACUAAGUUUUAUCUUCUUUGUACAAGAAUAUAUAUUCCUCGAUGGAGAGAUUAGGGCUUAUUCGGCUGUGCACCCAUCACAAUACACUACACCACACGCCAUCAGAGCUGAACAAAUGUCUGUUUCAUGAAGAGCAGCGCAUGUGUCUUGCUCUGACAUGGAGUCUAAUUACGUAGUUAUUCCUCUCAGCCCUCAGUAAGAAACACAUUUUAUGUUAUGGAGAAAAGAUUCUUCUACAUAAUAAAAAUGCAAUUGUA